Molecule: ribosomal RNA, 229 nt
Filed under: uncultured bacterium
Lineage: Bacteria
Description: partial 16S ribosomal RNA
Rfam family: Bacterial small subunit ribosomal RNA
Source: RNAcentral
UGCGCAGGCGGGGAUGUAAGUCAGUGGUGAAAUACUGCCGCUCAACGAUAGAACUGCCAUUGAUACUGCAUCUCUUGAGUAUGGUUGAGGUAGGCGGAAUGUGUUGUGUAGCGGUGAAAUGCAUAGAUAUGACACAGAACGCCAAUUGCGAAGGCAGCUUACUAAGCCAUUACUGACGCUGAGGCACGAAAGCGUGGGGAGCGAACAGGAUUAGAUACCCUGGUAGUCC